GAUGAACGCUAGCUACAGGCUUAACACAUGCAAGUCGAGGGGAAACGAUAGAGAAAGCUUGCUUUUUCUAGGCGUCGACCGGCGCACGGGUGAGUAACGCGUAUCCAACCUGCCCACCACUUGGGGAUAACCUUGCGAAAGUAAGACUAAUACCCAAUGACGUCUCUAGAAGACAUCUGAAAGGGAUUAAAGAUUUAUCGGUGAUGGAUGGGGAUGCGUCUGAUUAGCUUGUUGGCGGGGUAACGGCCCACCAAGGCAACGAUCAGUAGGGGUUCUGAGAGGAAGGUCCCCCACAUUGGAACUGAGACACGGUCCAAACUCCUACGGGAGGCAGCAGUGAGGAAUAUUGGUCAAUGGGCGGAAGCCUGAACCAGCCAAGUAGCGUGCAGGACGACGGCCCUAUGGGUUGUAAACUGCUUUCAGUCGGGAAUAAUUCGUCGGUCGUGACCGACGUUGCAGGUACCGUCAUAAGAAGGACCGGCUAAUUCCGUG
Molecule: ribosomal RNA, 492 nt
Filed under: uncultured bacterium
Lineage: Bacteria
Description: bacterial SSU rRNA
Rfam family: Bacterial small subunit ribosomal RNA
Source: RNAcentral